RNAcentral lists this ribosomal RNA (765 nucleotides) under Araneus marmoreus. Its description in RNAcentral is "eukaryotic LSU rRNA". It matches the Rfam family "Eukaryotic large subunit ribosomal RNA", at positions 80 to 628 of the family's 3401-position model. Lineage: Eukaryota; Metazoa; Arthropoda; Arachnida; Araneae; Araneidae. The record is from RNAcentral.
UGAGUAACGGCGAGCGAAAAGGGAGAGCCCAGCGCCGAAKCCCGCUCUCGAGAGGGAGCCGGGCAAUGUGGCGUUUAGGAGUGAGCGUGCCGGCGGUUGACUCUGCAGCAAGUCCCCCUGACCGGGGCUGUAACCCAGAGUGGGUGCGAGGCCCAUAGCUGCUAGGUCUCCGUCGAAUGCGAUCUCCUUGGAGUCGGGUUGCUUGGGAGUGCAGCCCUAAUCGGGUGGUAAACUCCACCUAAGGCUAAAUACGGCCGUGAGACCGAUAGCAAACAAGUACCGUGAGGGAAAGUUGCAAAGAACUUUGAAGAGAGAGUUCAAGAGUACGUGAAACUGCUCAGAGGCAAACGGGUGGGCCCUCGAAAUCCUGUGGCGGGAGGAUUCAGUUUUGUGGCGUGGACUCUGUGUUUGAGACUUAUUUAUGGUUCCGCGGAGGCGGCCUCUCAGAUGCAGGGCUUUCGCGCUACAGAACGCAUUUGUUUCCCGUCCGAAGGACCCCGCAACCGGUUACGAAACGGCCUUAAGGGCACCUGACGGCAGUUGGCCGGUGGUUCGCUUCGGUGGAUCGUCGGCUGUUAGCCAAGGUGUCGCACGGCUCGUAUCGUGACCGUGGUGUCSCAAGGCCUACUUAGGCUUCUUCGCCUCCUCCGUUCGCGGACGCCUGGAACGGUGGCAGGGGUGAGCACUUUUGCGGGCGCACGGCCUGACUCCGUGGCCCAGCGGAAGAAAGCUUCCUCGUUGGCUGUUAUUUACCUUUGACCCGUC